This 999-nucleotide small RNA is filed under the name Pan troglodytes (chimpanzee). Its description in RNAcentral is "retained intron". The record is from RNAcentral. Lineage: Eukaryota; Metazoa; Chordata; Mammalia; Primates; Hominidae.
ACAAAUAUGACUUUACGUCCAGUCGGCAUACAGUGGUGCAGUAAGUGGGGCAGGUGGGAGGAGGGUAGGGGAAGGCAGAAGACCUGCCGGACCAGCCCCAGCUGAGCCUGCUCCCCCCGACCAGCCUCGCCUGCAUCUGUCACUCAUUCCACUACAUCAAGCGCCUGCUGGAGACGCUCUUCGUGCACCGCUUCUCCCAUGGCACUAUGCCUUUGCGCAACAUCUUCAAGAACUGCACCUACUACUGGGGCUUCGCCGCGUGGAUGGCCUAUUACAUCAAUCACCCUCUCUACACUCCCCCUACCUACGGAGCUCAGCAGGUGAAACUGGCGCUCGCCAUCUUUGUGGUAAGGAGGCUGGGUGUGGGGACGGGGUCAGGGGAGUCUGGGCGGCCCUAGGCUGAUCCUGCUUCUCUGACAGAUCUGUCAGCUCGGCAACUUCUCCAUCCACAUGGCCCUGCGGGACCUGCGGCCCGCUGGUGAGUGCCUGCUGGGGGCAAGGGGACAGCUGGGCUGGGUGAGGGGGUCUGACUUCCUCCUUCUGUCCUGCCUGCCAGGGUCCAAGACGCGGAAGAUCCCAUACCCCACCAAGAACCCCUUCACGUGGCUCUUCCUGCUGGUGUCCUGCCCCAACUACACCUACGAGGUGGGGUCCUGGAUCGGUUUCGCCAUCAUGACGCAGUGUCUCCCAGGUGAGCCUGCCGCCCUCCCUCGGCGGGGCCCUACCCCUCCGGGCCGGCAGCCCCUCCCUGACGCCCGUUCUUUCCUGCAGUGGCCCUGUUCUCCCUGGUGGGCUUCACCCAGAUGACUAUCUGGGCCAAGGGCAAGCACCGCAGCUACCUGAAGGAGUUCCGGGACUACCCGCCCCUGCGCAUGCCCAUCAUCCCCUUCCUGCUCUGAGCGCUCACCCCUGCUGAGGCUCAGCCCCUCACCCCGGUGGCAUUCUGGGGGAGGAGUGGGGCCCACAGCUCUCCAGCACCCGGAAUAAAGCCCGCCUGCC